GAUGAACGCUGGCGGCGUGCCUAAUACAUGCAAGUCGAGCGAACGGCCGAGAAGCUUGCUUCUCUGAUGUUAGCGGCGGACGGGUGAGUAACACGUGGAUAACCUACCUAUAAGACUGGGAUAACUUCGGGAAACCGGAGCUAAUACCGGAUAAUAUUUUGAACCGCAUGGUUCAAAAGUGAAAGACGGUCUUGCUGUCACUUAUAGAUGGAUCCGCGCUGCAUUAGCUAGUUGGUAAGGUAACGGCUUACCAAGGCAACGAUGCAUAGCCGACCUGAGAGGGUGAUCGGCCACACUGGAACUGAGACACGGUCCAGACUCCUACGGGAGGCAGCAGUAGGGAAUCUUCCGCAAUGGGCGAAAGCCUGACGGAGCAACGCCGCGUGAGUGAUGAAGGUCUUCGGAUCGUAAAACUCUGUUAUUAGGGAAGAACAUAUGUGUAAGUAACUGUGCACAUCUUGACGGUACCUAAUCAGAAAGCCACGGCUAACUACGUG
RNAcentral lists this ribosomal RNA (497 nucleotides) under uncultured bacterium. RNAcentral describes it as "partial 16S ribosomal RNA". It matches the Rfam family "Bacterial small subunit ribosomal RNA", at positions 28 to 507 of the family's 1533-position model. The record is from RNAcentral.